AGUGAACGCUGGCGGCAGGCCUAAUACAUGCAAGUCGAACGGCAGCACAGCAGAGCUUGCUCUGUGGGUGGCGAGUGGCGGACGGGUGAGGAAUACAUGGGAAUCUGCCCAGUCGUGGGGGAUAACGUAUGGAAACGUACGCUAAUACCGCAUGCGCCCUACGGGGGAAAGGUCGGGGACCGCAAGGCCUGACGCGAUUGGAUGAGCUCAUGUUCGAUUAGCUAGUUGGCGGGGUAAAGGCCCACCAAGGCGACGAUCGAUAGCUGGUCUGAGAGGAUGAUCAGCCACACUGGAACUGAGACACGGUCCAGACUCCUACGGGAGGCAGCAGUAGGGAAUAUUGGACAAUGGGGGCAACCCUGAUCCAGCCAUGCCGCGUGAGUGAAGAAGGCCCUCGGGUUGUAAAGCUCUUUUGUCCGGAAAGAAAGCAAUCGGUUAAUACCCGGUUGUUCUGACGGUACCGGAAGAAUAAGCACCGGCUAACUUCGUGCC
RNAcentral lists this ribosomal RNA (492 nucleotides) under uncultured bacterium. RNAcentral describes it as "bacterial SSU rRNA". It matches the Rfam family "Bacterial small subunit ribosomal RNA", at positions 29 to 509 of the family's 1533-position model. The record is from RNAcentral.